UUCAGUGCCUUCCACAGCCGCGCUCAUUGCGCACUCUCUCCCGAAAGGAAAGCGAGUGCGACCGCAAACUAUACGGCUCCCGCAAUUGUACGCUGCGACGAUAAAUGUAUGCGCAUACGUCGCAGUAAACGACUGAAGUUGCACGAGCAUGUCGGAAGGCGUGGCGGUGCAAGAGCCACCAGGUGGCGCUCGCGUGCAUCUCGCUGGAACAUCUUCCUGAGCCGCAGCGUUCCGACGACCAGGAUGUCUAGGACUUGGAAGAGAACGAAGAAGGACAGGCCCAGGUACAUGCCGAUGAUGCCGCCCAGAUUGCCCAGCACGUGGGUUUCCUGCACGCGCACCACUUUUUCACGGGAAGCUCGAGUGCCGGCGUCGAGAUGGACACCAAAGCUUGACGCACCCGUAAAACUGGAGCGGGCAUGCACUGGGAAACUGAGUAGCACUAAAGAGGGCAAGGAUGGACGUGAAGCACGACGACGUGACUUGUAGUUGAGCUGGCCGAACUGUGUCGUGCGUAUACUCUGCCACCAACAGCAUAAUAAAUCUGUUUGCCUUCCCUCACUCAGAAA
Molecule: long non-coding RNA, 569 nt
Organism: Dermacentor albipictus
Lineage: Eukaryota; Metazoa; Arthropoda; Arachnida; Ixodida; Ixodidae
Source: RefSeq, a predicted model, not a curated record